AUGACAGGGCCACCAUUCACCACAGGAGUUCUCUUCUCUUCUUUUCUCCAGUACGAUUGUGAGGCCAAGGAGAUGGAGGCGAAGAAGAGGGCAGCCGCCAUUGCCGCCCUGUGCAUGCUCCUCCUCACGCUGCCAAAGCCAUCCCUCCAGGAGCCGCUGUCCGACGUCAACUGCGAGUACUGCUAUCAGCAGUGCUACCACGGGUGCAAGGACAGCACCCCUCCGUGGCUCUGCAAGGUCAAGUGCGCCUGUGAUUGCGCCGAAUUGGGAGGCUCCGGCGACACCUUCGACACCCUUCUCGUCUGCUUGGAUGCCUGCGACACAGACUCCAUCUGUGGCCUGCCGGUGCCGUUGGCCGGUAAGACACGAGCCACCUGUCUGUCUUACAUUGAUAGAAUAUGUGUUCUUUUCGCAAAGGAAUGA
RNAcentral lists this ribosomal RNA (423 nucleotides) under Triticum aestivum (bread wheat). RNAcentral's name for it is "partial small subunit ribosomal RNA". The record is from RNAcentral. Lineage: Eukaryota; Viridiplantae; Streptophyta; Magnoliopsida; Poales; Poaceae.